UACGGAGGGUGCAAGCGUUAUCCGGAUUUACUGGGUUUAAAGGGUGCGUAGGCGGCGCGGUAAGUCGGGUGUGAAAUCUCGGAGCUUAACUCCGAAACUGCAUUCGAUACUGCCGUGCUUGAGGACUGGAGAGGAGACUGGAAUUUACGGUGUAGCGGUGAAAUGCGUAGAUAUCGUAAGGAAGACCAGUGGCGAAGGCGGGUCUCUGGACAGUUCCUGACGCUGAGGCACGAAGGCCAGGGGAGCAAACGGG
RNAcentral lists this ribosomal RNA (253 nucleotides) under uncultured bacterium. RNAcentral describes it as "partial 16S ribosomal RNA". It matches the Rfam family "Bacterial small subunit ribosomal RNA", at positions 524 to 776 of the family's 1533-position model. The record is from RNAcentral.